GUCCCUGUAGCGCAAAGGAUUGCGCGCUGGACUUCUAAUCCAAAGGUCGUGGGUUCGAAUCCCACCAGGUAUCA
RNAcentral lists this transfer RNA (74 nucleotides) under Trichonephila inaurata madagascariensis. RNAcentral's name for it is "tRNA-Arg". It matches the Rfam family "tRNA". Rfam says of the family: Transfer RNA (tRNA) molecules are approximately 80 nucleotides in length. Their secondary structure includes four short double-helical elements and three loops (D, anti-codon, and T loops). Further hydrogen bonds mediate the characteristic L-shaped molecular structure. tRNAs have two regions of fundamental functional importance: the anti-codon, which is responsible for specific mRNA codon recognition, and the 3' end, to which the tRNAs corresponding amino acid is attached (by aminoacyl-tRNA synthetases). tRNAs cope with the degeneracy of the genetic code in two manners: having more than one tRNA (with a specific anti-codon) for a particular amino acid; and 'wobble' base-pairing, i.e. permitting non-standard base-pairing at the 3rd anti-codon position. The record is from RNAcentral. Lineage: Eukaryota; Metazoa; Arthropoda; Arachnida; Araneae; Nephilidae.